This 252-nucleotide ribosomal RNA is filed under the name Mitsuokella jalaludinii. Its description in RNAcentral is "partial 16S ribosomal RNA". It matches the Rfam family "Bacterial small subunit ribosomal RNA", at positions 524 to 776 of the family's 1533-position model. Lineage: Bacteria; Bacillati; Bacillota; Negativicutes; Selenomonadales; Selenomonadaceae. The record is from RNAcentral.
UACGUAGGUGGCGAGCGUUGUCCGGAAUUAUUGGGCGUAAAGGGAGCGCAGGCGGGAAGGUAAGUCUAUCUUAAAAGUGCGAGGCUCAACCCCGUGAGGGGAUGGAAACUAUCUUUCUUGAGUGCAGGAGAGGAAAGCGGAAUUCCUAGUGUAGCGGUGAAAUGCGUAGAUAUUAGGAGGAACACCAGUGGCGAAGGCGGCUUUCUGGACUGUAACUGACGCUGAGGCUCGAAAGCGUGGGGAGCGAACAGG